Rhododendron vialii is the source of this 856-nucleotide long non-coding RNA. RefSeq lists it as uncharacterized. Lineage: Eukaryota; Viridiplantae; Streptophyta; Magnoliopsida; Ericales; Ericaceae. The transcript is spliced from 3 exons. The record is from RefSeq and is a predicted model, not a curated record.
GAUUCCCACUAUCACACGAUUUGAUUCAAUGCACCAAGCAAACAAUUCGUAUAGUUUUGCGUUGGAAUUGUACAAUUUGAGAUAUGUCUCACACGAUUCAGUUCAAUCCACUAAGUCCUUGAUUUCAUUUGUGCUCAGUUUCUACUUGCAAUACGAAUAUUAGGAGGCAUCAAGGGAAAGGUUCGAAAAAGUUAAUCUGCUUUUGUUGAAAGAAAGAAGAUGGCAUUGAAGGUGAUUGAUUCCUGCACAUGCAUUACCUUUUGAUUGUAAUGGGAGGUUCAAAUAGUCUUCCAUGGAUCUUUGGAAUGGUUAUGCCUGUUGAUUCAGUCUUUGAGUAGGUUUAACAUGGAAUUCAGGCUGUGGAUGAACAUUUGGUGGGCAUCUUUGACAUUUCAUGACGUGCUCACAUGCUUGUUGAUGUCCAGACUCAAUGAAAUCAAAGUGUUGCGAAUGGAGACAUGGAGGGCUGUCAAAUCAUCAAAGUGGCUGUGGAUUGUGAGUGCAAAAAUCUUUUCAGUUUGCUAGUUGUCCCUUUACGGAUUUAUACCCCGCUUAUCCUGGUUGCUAGCACUCGGUUCUAAAUUGGUGUGACAAUCUUUGUACUGGUACAACCAAGGUGAACGUUGAUCUCAUUACAAAGUUAUAAGUGACUAUGUAUCCUUCUUUCUAUGCAUUGGCUGUGCCUAGAAUCAGUACCGUCUCAAGUAUGGAAGCUUCAUGACCGCACCAGUAUGGAAGCUGAACUUUGGGGACUCAAAAAAUGAGAGAACAAAACAGAUAACAUCUUAUUGUAAUAAAUCUAAUUAUUUAUUUGAGUAACAUUACAUAGGCGAUAAAAGUCCAUAAGUAGCAAUUU